RNAcentral lists this unclassified non-coding RNA (273 nucleotides) under Elaiopezia polaripapulata. RNAcentral's name for it is "Peziza polaripapulata partial internal transcribed spacer region". The stretch from base 1 to 46 matches the Rfam family "Eukaryotic small subunit ribosomal RNA", at positions 1786 to 1831 of the family's 1831-position model. Lineage: Eukaryota; Fungi; Ascomycota; Pezizomycetes; Pezizales; Pezizaceae. The record is from RNAcentral.
AAGUCGUAACAAGGUUUCCGUAGGUGAACCUGCGGAAGGAUCAUUAAUGAAAAACUAUUCUUUAGUUCUUCAUACCCCAUUGUUUACUUACCCUGUUGCUUCCACGUGGACAGGCUCCUUGAGCCCUCUAGCCCGCUUGUGAUUCCAUCAUAAAAAAGGCUGGGGAGUUGCCCGUGGUAAGACCCUAUAACAAAAACUUGAUAAAAACCCAAAUGUCUGAUAUAUUCAUUAAAAAAUGAAAUAAAACUUUCAACAACGGAUCUCUAGGCUCUU